This is a long non-coding RNA of Equus caballus (horse), 3103 nucleotides long. The record is from Ensembl. Lineage: Eukaryota; Metazoa; Chordata; Mammalia; Perissodactyla; Equidae.
AGAAACUCCAAUUCUGUUCUUUUUUAUGAUUAUCUCAUUCUUGGGCCUGUAUAUUUCCUCAUAAAUUUUGGAAGCAGAUUGUCAAUUUCUGAAACAAAAUAAACUGAUGAUAGUUUUAUUUGGAUUAUAUUGAUCUACAGAUCAGUUUGUAGAGAAAGUCACUUAUCUUUUCUAUGUCCUAGAUCCGUCUUCUGAAAAAACAAGACAAAAAUACUCACUGAGCAAUUAUGAGUGUUACAUCAGACAGUGUAUUUGCAAACUGGAAAAAAAUAACCCACUAUAGAAAUGCUGGAUAUUUGUUACAAAACGAGAAGCAACACGUGCAAGGGCUGGGGAGAAAUCCGCCUGCAGCAGAUUUAAAAAGGUUGCAGCAAAGCUGGAGUGUGGUCGCUGUUGGCUCCUCCCCUCACGCUGGCUGGGAAGGCACAGGCGGGGGUUCAGGGGAGAGAAGAGGCCACUUUGCAGGGACUCCCCGUGUCAGCACUGGCGUCACAUCCCAGCGGCCAUCACAGCUCCUUAUGACAUUGUCUAAGUGUUUGCCUUCUCACGUCUUCCACUCUGUAGCCGGGAAACUGAGCAUAGAAUCCAUUAUGACUUAUUUUUCAAGUACGCCUGCUGCGCGUCAGGGCCAGGUCCGCGUGGAUCUGCCUUUCCACGUGUUCUGCAUAGAACGUCACACCUGGAGAGGAGAUGACCAUGCACCACCAACGGGGAAAGGACUUCUUCCAUUGACCAUGCCUCCUCGGUCCCCUGGAGCGUGUGCUGAGUUAAGCUGAGGCCGUUUAUGUGUGUUUGCGUGACUAGGGCAUGGAUUGGAGGCAGUCUCCCUUCCCCAGAGGCAGCCCGUUGGAAAACAGGAGGGUCUGAGACUUCACGCUCUGCGACCCUCAGCCCUGACUCUCCUUUCAGAGGCUUUCUGUGGACCCCUUGAACAAAUACCUUUUGCCAAAGAGGAAGCCCCAGGCUGAAACAGAGAAGCACUGGGACCCUACAGCACUUGCUUUUCGUGGGGCAUUCUCAUCCCUUCUCUCUGCCUCUUCAGGGGCUGUCCACAGAGCCCCGCGCACAGGGGGCAGUGUUGGCAGAGCCCCUGACAUUGUCCCAAGUGCCACAGGCCUGUCUCCCAAGGGCCGGGGCGCCCCAGUGGCCCCCAGCACUCGGCCCUUCCCGUGCACCGAGAGGAAGCGCAGGAGCGGGGUGAGCGCUGAGCGGAGGAAGCGCGAGCCGGAGCCCGAGGAUGCGGGGCCCGCCUGGCUGUCUGCAGCAGAGUCUGCGUGUCCUCACAGGGCAGGGCCCGGGCGGCUGACUUGGCGUCCCAUCCCCUUCACAGUCCUGGCGGGCCUGGGGGCAAGCGGCUGCGAGGAGCGUGGGCUUUGCCAGGAGGGCUGGCGGUACAGGCCCGGGGUUGUAUUUGUCCCAGCGCCGCGCUGCUCCUCCAGGGACUGUGGCAGGGAUGCUGGCCAGAGCACCGCCUGCCCUGCGCUGAGGGGAACCAGACGGCAGCCCCGCCGCCGCGGCCCGCCCUGCCCAGCAGCAGCCAGAAGGCCGGUCCCUGGGGGGGAGGAAGGAAGACAGCGGAGAGAAUCAGACAAAGGAAGACCACCAUAAACCAGCAGCAUGUCUGUAAUCAGGAGGGCCCUUUGUUGAGAGCUGGUCUAAACAAGUUGUGAUCCCCUGGAAGGGGGCCAUAAACCGAAGCCAAAAUAAAGGUGUUUACAGCAAGGGAGACGGACGGGCUGCGGCCUCGUUUGGCCGCGAUGGGGGGGUACUGGUGGCCCUAAGGCCCCGCCUGCGCUCGGGGGACGCGUCCGAACAUCACAGAACAUCACAGACGCAAGCGCAGGGGAAGGGGGAGGCGCGGGAUGGGGGCGCCCAGGGACCCUCCCACAUUCCGGCCUGGGGGAGAGAGAGGGCAGGGUGCCAGGUCUGUGUGACAGCUGGAGAUUCAUGGCCAGAGGCCUGGAGAUCUUCGCCCAGCUUCUCCACUCCUCUACAAAGUCCUUUAUAAUGGACUCGAGGGAGUCACACUCCUAAGAGGGUUUGAGGGCAGUUGUUUCUUAAAGUAAUGCCUCUUAGGCCCAACUUAUCAGCCUGGAAAUGUGUGAGGAGGAAGUUUCACCCCAGGAUCCACCUUCGUCAGGGAAGCUUCGUGCCGUCUGUGAGCCAUGAGCAGAUGGGCAGCUGUUGGUGAAGUGCUGGAGGCCGGAAGUCGGAGAUCAAGGUGCCAGCAGUUCCAUUCAUUGAAGCGCUCUUUGGCUUGCAACUUUGACCUACUUUGCCUCAUCUGUAAUGGGCUCUGGUAUCUAAGCAAUGCAUCUCAGCUGAGCUAAGACUGUUAUCAGCUCCACAUUGACUGAUAGUAAAGAUAUAGAUGCUACGACCCAGAAACCCAGCUCCUGAAACAUACCUAAUAGAAACGCAUGCACACGUCCACCUGCACACAACUACAAAAGAAUGUGCUAACAAGAUUGAUCACAACAGCCAAAUAUUGGAAACAAUUCAAAUGUUCAUCAGCAGCUAAACAAUAAAUACAUAGUUGAAUAUUGAUUAUUGGACAGUCACACAGCAAUGAAGAUGAAUAAACCAUAGCUACAUUCAGUAAUGUGGGUGAAUAUUACAAAAGUAAAGUUGGUGAAGGAAGCAAGAGAAACAAGAAUACACGUAUUAUUUAUAAACUGUGUUGCUAAAGGAUGUACACGCAGAUGUUAAAGAAAACGACAACAGGAAGAGUGAAAAUACAAACAUGUUAAACAUUACAAUCAACCAUGAAGCAUGUGCUCAUCAUAGAAGACAGGAUAUGGUCAUCUUGGUGGGGAGGGGGAAAUAAACGAGAAGGGACACAUGGACACGUUGGGCAUUCCCAAAAUGCUCUGUUUAUCAGGCUGGUUUGACGAAUGCACAGGUAUACAAUGUAAAAUUAUUUAUUAAACCGAACAUUUAUUUAUGUGCACCUUUCUGGAUAUGUUUUAUAUUUCUCACUUAAAGUUAAAAUAAAGUUAAUUAAAGGGAUUUUAAAAAGGUAUGGGAAACAUAAUGUCCUUUGUAUUGUCUAUAAAUAAAAACAUAUCACUUAUAAAACAGCCAUUGUGGACCUAAUUGUCCG